Molecule: long non-coding RNA, 1997 nt
Organism: Pygocentrus nattereri (red-bellied piranha)
Lineage: Eukaryota; Metazoa; Chordata; Actinopteri; Characiformes; Serrasalmidae
Source: Ensembl
AUGAAGAUCCUUCAGUUCAGGAUGAAGAUCUUCCUCUCCACCCUCUACCUGAUCUCAGGCCCAGUGUGCUGCUCUGAUGUGUUCGGCUAUUCAGGAGGAAGCGUCCUUUUAUUCUCUGAUCUGCAGUGGGAUGUAAACAAGACAAGAUAUAUUUGCAGGGUGGAACAAAGUGGCUGUCUAGAUAUAAUGAAGGAUCAGACUAAGGUCAGGUCUGUCACUAACGGGAGGUUCAUGAUGUAUUCAAAUGUAGAUGGAGAGUUUACAGUGUUGAUCAGAGAGCUGAAGCCUCAGGAUUCUGCCGUGUACAGAUUUGGAGUUGGGAAUGAAAAGCAUAAGGACAUCAAGCUGACCGUUCAGAGUGAUUCUUGUUGUGGGGGAAUUACAAAAACGAAUGCUUAUCUAGGAGAGACGGCCAACUUCGACUGUAACCAUCCAGAUGAGUUCAAGAUGAAAAGCAAGUACCUCAUCAACCUCAAUGAUCAACAUACAAUUAGAAGAAUAAUUUGCACUGGACAAGCGUCUCAGAAGAAGCAGAAAGACAGAUUCUCCAUCUCUGAUGACAGAAGCUCUAACGUCUUCAGUGUGAACAUCAGUGAUGUGACAGAAGAUGAUGGAGGAGUUUAUCUGUGUGGAGUGUGGAAGAAUCAGAAGUCAGUGGGUUAUUACUCCUACUUCAGAGAGAUUCAGCUGAAAGUUUCUGCUCCAGGUUCCUCUAUCAUCACUGUGUGUGUCUGUGGGACUCUGUUGCUGAUUGGAGGAGCAGCACUGAUCUUCUACAGACGGAGAAACCACAUGAUACAGGACUCAGCUUCAACUGGCCAGAGAACAGACAAAAAUAAUGAAGAUGACGAUUAUGAAAAUGUCUCACAUGGAAAUCGAUACAACAUCAGCAUGGGUCCAGUCCACCAGAGCCCAAACCCCAACAUAGCAGAUUUAGUCUAUGAGGACCCUGAUCCAAACACCCACCAAUCGGAUUCGGACUAUGAGAACACCAACCAAUCAGAUUUCAUUUAUGCGAAUGUGACCAUCAAGAGCAGUGGAUGAGGGGAGUAUUUCAUAAAGCAGUUCUCAGUGCCAACACAUAAGAACCAGUGAUAACUGCCUAUUGGAAAUGUCCUCUUCUCUUAUUGGUCAAAGCGAAACUCUUGGUUUGAGUUGUCGGAGAAGUUUACCAAAUACACCCAAAUUUUCACAACAUCAGUUUAUUUGCACCUCCCUCAAUACUCCAGUCCUUCUAGAUUAAAUAAAAAAACAAUACUUUUGGUUUUUGUUUUCUUAGUUGUUUCCAGUGUAAACUUACUUGCCUAAGGUUGCAACAAGGAGAGAAAUUAAGGAUAUUUUAGCUGGAGAGUUAAACACAUCUCUAUAAUCGCUACAUUUGUGUUUUAUUGCUUGAUCAGUCAGUUUAUGCUUCUACAGAUUUCUCUUAAUAUGUCUGCAUGUACUCCUUCUUAGUUAUAAGCUAUCAAAAUCUGAUCUCUAUUCUGUCAUUAUGAUCUCCAGUGGUUUCACCAUACAGUCUCAGAAAAAGAAAAAAAGGUAUGAAGCUGUGACUGGGGUGGUACCCUCAAAAGGUACAUCUCAGUGCCUUCUGUCAGGGAACAUAACUGAACCAUAUUCUACUGAAAUGAUCUGUUCUAAGCUGUGCUGACUCCACACACCCCGCCCCGCCCCGCCUCACCUCCAGGUGUUUAUUCUACUGCUCUGUUUUAAAACAUUCGGUUAUGAAAAGGAACAAUUAUGAACUUCACUUGGAAAAACUACAAGGUACACAACUGGACCUUAAACCGAACUUCUGAAGGAACAUUUACACUGUUUGUACUUUGAUGAAAGAAAAAUGUACCCCCACAGGACCUUUAUUUCUAACCAUGUAUAUUGUGAGCAUUUUACAUUCAAUAAACUUAUCAAAUCAUGCAAUGCAUUAUUUUGUAAUUAAUUUUUAAAAAGUUUCCCCUGCCACCUACACACCAUCUAUACAUCUACCACUUUAACACAGG